RNAcentral lists this ribosomal RNA (253 nucleotides) under uncultured bacterium. RNAcentral's name for it is "partial 16S ribosomal RNA". It matches the Rfam family "Bacterial small subunit ribosomal RNA", at positions 524 to 776 of the family's 1533-position model. The record is from RNAcentral.
UACGGAGGGUGCAAGCGUUGUUCGGAAUUAUUGGGCGUAAAGGGCGUGUAGGCGGGUAUGCAGGUCAGGUGUGAAAUCCCUCGGCUCAACCGAGGAAGUGCAUUUGAAACCGUAUAUCUUGAGUACGUGAGAGGCAGAUGGAAUUCCCAGUGUAGAGGUGAAAUUCAUAGAUAUUGGGAAGAACACCGGUGGCGAAAGCGGUCUGCUGGCACGAUACUGACGCUGAGACGCGAAAGCGUGGGGAGCAAACAGG